RNAcentral lists this ribosomal RNA (468 nucleotides) under Triticum aestivum (bread wheat). Its description in RNAcentral is "partial small subunit ribosomal RNA". The record is from RNAcentral. Lineage: Eukaryota; Viridiplantae; Streptophyta; Magnoliopsida; Poales; Poaceae.
AUGCCGGGUAUUCCGAGGAAGUAUGCCGAGCACAAACUCCACGCCCGCAAGGACGCCAAGCCUUUCUGCCAACCCCUACGUCACUUUUUAGAAGAGAAGAGAAGAACCAUUGGUGAAGAGGUCGCCAAGCUCCUGGCGGCCGGCUUCAUCAUGGAAGUGUUCUACACCGAGUGGCUGGCCAACCCAGUUCUCUUCCUGAAGAAGAACAAGACCCGGCGCAUGUGUAUAGACUACACCAGCCUGAACAAGGCUCGUCCCAAGGAUCCAUUGGCCCUCCUGCGAAUCGAUCAAGUCAUCGACUCCACCGCUCGCUGUGAGCUCCUGUCCUUCCUGGAUGCUUACUCCAGCUAUCAUCAGAUAAAGUUGGACCCAGCGGACGCCCUGAAGACGUCCUUCAUCAUGCCCUUCGGGGCGUAUUGCCACAUCACCAUGUCGUUCGGCUUGAAGAAUGCCGGUGCCACCUUCUAG